GAAAAGAAGCUCAGUAACCAGACAUUUUGUUUCAAUUAGUUCGAAUUUCAAUCCUUUCUUUGGUUUACAAAAUCUAAAUUUGAAAAUUUCAAAGUAUGCAAAUUAGUCACAAUCGAUGUGAAUCAGCUGACUCCACGGAGCAGACAACAAACCUAGUUGCUCAUUACAAUCAGUGUGAACCUGCUGACUACAUUAACCAGUUGGUGUCGUUCAGAAACAACCGACAAACAGAGGAAGAAAAUAAAUCGUCGAGCCAGAGGAUAUUGAAACUACUCCUUCGGUUCUGGAACUGGUUUUCCAUUCAAUAUCAUUUACUAUAUGAGCACUUCCUGAUCGAAAUGGACACAAAUGGUUCAUCUGCACUGCUAUUCGUAAUAAUGCCAGUCAUAACCAUUUGUCUGUCAAAAUUAAGCAAACCGUGGACUAGGCAGAAUCGUCAAAUCAAAUCUGAAUGGGAUCGGUUACGGUCACCAAUGAAUUCUCGAUCCAUGUUUUCUUUCGCAAGGCCCUUUUUGUACGUAUUUAGAUGACACCAAAUUAGGCCUGUUCGUGUUGCAACUACCGAUUUAGAAAGAUUCGGGAAAGAUUGAUUCGAAUUGGAAAGAAAUCCUAACAAUUCAUUGAAUACAUUAGCGACUGCGAAAUGACAUAGAUGUGAGUCCUUUUUUUAAAGCAUUUUC
Long non-coding RNA from Bradysia coprophila, 680 nucleotides. The record is from RefSeq and is a predicted model, not a curated record. Lineage: Eukaryota; Metazoa; Arthropoda; Insecta; Diptera; Sciaridae.